Molecule: ribosomal RNA, 178 nt
Filed under: Klebsiella pneumoniae
Lineage: Bacteria; Pseudomonadati; Pseudomonadota; Gammaproteobacteria; Enterobacterales; Enterobacteriaceae
Description: partial 23S ribosomal RNA
Rfam family: Bacterial large subunit ribosomal RNA
Source: RNAcentral
AUGCGGAAGAGAUAAGUGCUGAAAGCAUCUAAGCACGAAACUAGCCCCGAGAUGAGUUCUCCCUGAGACUUUAAGUCUCCUGAAGUAACGUUAAAGACGAUGACGUUGAUAGGCCGGGUGUGUAAGCGCAGCGAUGCGUUGAUCUAACCGGUACUAAUGAACCGUGAGGCUUAACCUU